AGGGCACUUAGCUUCUUCCACCAGAAGGGCCUCCAGGAUUUUGACACUCUGCUCCUGAGUGGUGAUGGAAAUACUCUCUACGUGGGGGCUCGAGAAGCCAUUCUGGCCUUGGAUAUCCAGGAUCCAGGGGUCCCCAGGCUAAAGAACAUGAUACCGUGGCCAGCCAGUGACAGAAAAAAGAGUGAAUGUGCCUUUAAGAAGAAGAGCAAUGAGACACAGUGUUUCAACUUCAUCCGUGUCCUGGUUUCUUACAAUGUCACCCAUCUCUACACCUGCGGCACCUUCGCCUUCAGCCCUGCUUGUACCUUCAUUAUGUGAGACCUUGGCGUUCUGGUCCCCCAGCCUCUCUCCCCAUUUAGGAACUUCAAGAUUCCUACCUGUUGCCCAUCUCGGAGGACAAGGUCAUGGAGGGAAAAGGCCAAAGCCCCUUUGACCCCGCUCACAAGCAUACGGCUGUCUUGGUGGAUGGGAUGCUCUAUUCUGGUACUAUGAACAACUUCCUGGGCAGUGAGCCCAUCCUGAUGCGCACACUGGGAUCCCAGCCUGUCCUCAAGACCGACAACUUCCUCCGCUGGCUGCAUCAUGACGCCUCCUUCGUGGCAGCCAUCCCUUCGACCCAGGUCGUCUACUUCUUCUUCGAGGAGACAGCCAGCGAGUUUGACUUCUUUGAGAGGCUCCACACAUCGCGGGUGGCUAGAGUCUGCAAGAAUGACGUGGGCGGCGAAAAGCUGCUGCAGAAGAAGUGGACCACCUUCCUGAAGGCCCAGCUGCUCUGCACCCAGCCGGGGCAGCUGCCCUUCAACGUCAUCCGCCACGCGGUCCUGCUCCCCGCCGAUUCUCCCACAGCUCCCCACAUCUACGCAGUUUUCACCUCCCAGUGGCAGGUUGGCGGGACCAGGAGCUCUGCGGUUUGUGCCUUCUCUCUCUUGGAGAUUGAACGUGUCUUUAAGGGGAAAUACAAAGAGUUGAACAAAGAAACUUCACGCUGGACUACUUAUAGGGGCCCUGAGACCAACCCCCGGCCAGGCAGUUGCUCAGUGGGCCCCUCCUCUGAUAAGGCCUUGACCUUCAUGAAGGACCAUUUCCUGAUGGAUGAGCAGGUGGUGGGGACGCCCCUGCUGGUGAAAUCUGGCGUGGAGUAUACACGGCUUGCAGUGGAGACAGCCCAGGGCCUUGAUGGGCACAGCCAUCUUGUCAUGUACCUGGGAACCACCACAGGGUCGCUCCACAAGGCUGUGGUGAGUGGGGACAGCAGUGCUCAUCUGGUGGAAGAGAUUCAGCUGUUCCCUGACCCUGAACCUGUUCGCAACCUGCAGCUGGCCCCCACCCAGGGUGCAGUGUUUGUAGGCUUCUCAGGAGGUGUCUGGAGGGUGCCCCGAGCCAACUGUAGUGUCUAUGAGAGCUGUGUGGACUGUGUCCUUGCCCGGGACCCCCACUGUGCCUGGGACCCUGAGUCCCGAACCUGUUGCCUCCUGUCU
This 1478-nucleotide small RNA is filed under the name Pongo abelii (Sumatran orangutan). Its description in RNAcentral is "processed transcript". The record is from RNAcentral. Lineage: Eukaryota; Metazoa; Chordata; Mammalia; Primates; Hominidae.